AUAAAAAAUAGAGGUGCAACAAUUAUCAGUAAUUAGUUGGAGGUUUGACAAAACCUGUGAAGACUAGUGAAAGGAAUUUUUGCCGAAACAAAAAACUGUCAUCUUUUUGUUGGGUCUUAGGUUGAAUAAGCCGAGAACUGUCGCUUAUCUUUAAGCGUUGCGCUAUCUUACUG
This is a regulatory RNA element of Carnobacterium divergens DSM 20623, 173 nucleotides long. It matches the Rfam family "Lysine riboswitch aptamer". From Rfam's summary of the family: Riboswitches are metabolite binding domains within certain messenger RNAs that serve as precision sensors for their corresponding targets. Allosteric rearrangement of mRNA structure is mediated by ligand binding, and this results in modulation of gene expression. This family includes riboswitches that sense lysine in a number of genes involved in lysine metabolism, including lysC. The record is from Rfam. NCBI's taxonomy places the organism in Bacteria, Bacillati, Bacillota, Bacilli, Lactobacillales, Carnobacteriaceae.